Molecule: ribosomal RNA, 497 nt
Filed under: uncultured bacterium
Lineage: Bacteria
Description: partial 16S ribosomal RNA
Rfam family: Bacterial small subunit ribosomal RNA
Source: RNAcentral
GAUGAACGCUGGCGGCGUGCCUAAUACAUGCAAGUCGAGCGAACAGACUAGUAGCUUGCUCCUCUGACGUUAGCGGCGGACGGGUGAGUAACACGUGGAUAACCUACCUAUAAGACUUGGAUAACUUCGGGAAACCGGAGCUAAUACCGGAUAAUAUAUUGAACCGCAUGGUUCAAUAGUGAAAGACGGUUUUGCUGUCACUUAUAGAUUGAUCCGCGCCGCAUUAGCUAGUUGGUAAGGUAACGGCUUACCAAGGCAACGAUGCGUAGCCGACCUGAGAGGGUGAUAGGCCACACUGGAACUGAGACACGGUCCAGACUCCUAAGGGAGGCAGCAGUAGGGAAUGUUCCGCAAUGGGCGAAAGCAUGACGGAGCAACGCCGCGUGAGUGAUGAAGGUGUUCGGAUCGUAAAACUCUGUUAUGAGGGAAGAACAAAUGUGUAAGUAACUAUGCACGUCUUGACGGUACCUAAUCAGAAAGCCACGGCUAACUACGUG